GCACUUGGACACACAGGGAGAUAGGGGACGACAUGGGCCUGUGCGGCACAGUCUGCCGUUGUGAUUUUGAGCAAGGCCAUAUAAUUUUGAGAGAAUAUUACUUGCGUUUAGAUUACAACUAUCCGACGCAAUUUAAUAUCAGUGUUUCUAGCCCAAUAUAUCCUUCGUUUGAUAUUUUUAAGGAGGAAAAUCAUUAUUGUUUGAGUUGUACCUGAGCUAAGCAAAUAUGAUCAAGAAUCGAAGCCUUGCUGGAAAGUGGGCAAUAGGCUUGUUUUCUCUCACAUUAAUUCUUGUAGUACUUGCUUUUUCAACUCAGAAUUGGCUCGCCAGUGACGACCGUUUCUAUGGCGCAAAGUUGGAGAAAAUGGGAUUGUGGGUUCAUUGCUUCAGGAGCCUUACUGGCCCAAACGAUCCCACGCAGCGUCUGUUCUUCAGUGGCUGUCGCUGGCUGUUUGAUACCUACACAACAGGCUAUGCUGAGAUUCGAAGCCACUUAACACCUCCAUUCUUCAUAGCUGUGCAGAUGUUCUACACCCUGACUUUCAUGUGCACGGCAACAAGCGGAGUUCUGGUUCUGAUGCUGAUGUUUUGUAUCGACGAGGACCGUGAAACGUGCUUCCUGAGAGUGAUCGCCACUCUGAUGGGACUGUCUGGCAUUUGCGGCACGUUGUCUGUGAUCAUAUUCGGCGCCAACGGUCGCAGCUACGAGUGGACCGCCGACAAACAGCACAACUAUCUGUCCUGGAGCUACGGUCUAGCCGUCCUCGCGGCGUUCCUGCAGCUCGUGCUCUGCGUACUGGUCAUCAACGAGGUCAGGAUCACAAGAAAGAAACACAGUCGCAUGAUGCCGCCGCAGCAGGCAGCAGAAGUGGAUCUGUAAUUGAUACAGCGCUACCCAGUGGCAAUGUGAACAACUUCAGCUGCCGGCAGCGCCACCAGAGGCGCUCGUAAUCGUGUUUGUUCUAUGGUGAGCAUUUGAUUUUCAGUUACGUGUACCGUGGUUCACAGGAAGUGAUCUGUGAAUGUUGUAUCGUUUUUAUAUGAAUCUCCCUGAAAAAGUUCUGAUCUGGCAUUUUUGCUAUACUUGCACUUGAAGAAAAGUCAUCUAUUUACCGGUAUCGUAGUUCAUUUUAUCUUUACGCAUCAUUGAGGCGGUGUUGGAAGCCUUUUUAUUUCAUUUUCAAUUUUGUACCUCGUUUAGAGGCAGCCAACUUGUUGUAAUUUGAAGGCUCGACGUUUUUGUCUCGUUUUCAAAUGAUGGGCAUGCUGUUGUGAACGAGCGUUGUUGUUUGAAGCGCGCCGACCAGUCUUCCGUCCACAGCUGCAGAGCAACUGUCCGUCCAGAUAACGAAUCUCAGUGUACAUUCCGCCGCUUUUUGCACACGUAUCCGUCCGCAUAUGCUGCUCACAAGCAUCGCUGAAGGUUGUACUUAUCAAAGCUGCGGUGUUUUCGUGAGAUGCUGUACCUAAUCGGGACGCACUGACGUCUAGCUUAGUACUACUCAUACUGAUAUGUAAUGAAGAUUAGACGUUUUAGAUGCACCUGUUUGAAGGGACAGUCGCGUUAUUCAUCUCGCAUGCGAUAUGCGUAUUUUUCUAUCGUAUUGUAAGCUGGGAUUGACGGCGAUAUUGCUCCUAUUCGGGGCAUGUGUUCAUCCGCUUGUCUUUGUAAAUACAUUCCGCUACAUUGAAAAA
Molecule: unclassified non-coding RNA, 1695 nt
Filed under: Amphibalanus amphitrite
Lineage: Eukaryota; Metazoa; Arthropoda; Thecostraca; Balanomorpha; Balanidae
Description: uncharacterized LOC122385652, transcript variant X3
Source: RNAcentral